AUUUCUUAAGAAGAUAUCAAUUUUCAUUUGAUGUAGGGCAAAUCUAGUGAGUGAAUUAAUAAUGAUAGUUAAUUUCGUACUAUGAAUAUUGUUGCAUGUCGUUUCUAUUCAUUGUAAAGCCAAAUAAUGUUCCUAUAACAGGGCUUCCUCAACAUUGUGUAUGGCUUGGGAUUGCUAGUACUUUUCUCUUAAAAACUGAAAAUCAAUUUGAGUUCGUUAUUGGAAUCCAAGUGUGUGGAAGAAAAGCAUGGCGGUCUUUUGUUUUUUAAAUUCAUGUGCAUUGAUUUAUUGCUUAGAAAUUUAUGAAAAAAAUUGAAAAGCAUGUUAAUUUGAUGAUUUAAUAUAAUUUUGAAAUAAACUAAUUAUUUUGAAAAUUUUAAAACGUGUUGAUGAAUUUGAAUCCCAACUUUCAAAGGAUGGAAGUCUUUAAGAAACAAUACUUUUAUGACUUGCAUGUCAUAAGUGUGAGUGUCCCUAUUCCAUUUUCAUUAGAACGAUGACUAAUUGAGUACUAUGAAUAUUGCUGCAUGUCGUUUCUAUUCAUUUUAAAGUCAAAUUAUGUUCUCAUUUGAAUCCCAAUAUUGUUCUGCAUGGCUUGGGAUAGCUAGUAUUUUUUCGGAAGAGAUGAAAAAUCAUGCCCCCACAGCAGUUUCUAUGGAUCACUUGUCAUUUUUACACAUCUCUAAUCUUAAAGAGAUAUAAUGCCUGGAUGGAAAGUAACUUCAACACAUAGUCAGAAGAGAGGAAGCAAGUUUGCAGAAGAAACGAGGAAAAGAGUACUGUAAGAUUGGGGGCUGAAAUUCAGAAUUCCAACUGCAGACAAGUCAGAUUUCUAAGAUGGCUAGAAAACAAGUACAACUGUUGGGCAGUCAUGGAGAAAUCUGAAGGAAUUGCAAAAUUACUCAUCGAUCAACUGGACCUCACAAACGAAGAGGAUUGCCGAUGAAGCAUUUAACGAAACGAUGCACUUUGCAAAACUUAAUGGUUGUGUGUUCACAAACUAAGUCACAUUCUCAAAGAAGGUUAACAAUGUUUUGUGAAUUAUGUGGAAAAAGAUGCAGCUAUCUACCAAAAAGUUAUGUUGCUUUGCAAAUUUUUUAAAGUGGGGGUUUGGUAGAAUAUGAGAGAGCAUUUUCAUUAGGUUGGUUGGUGUUCCUCAGAAAACGAAUUUUGAGAUGAUGGAGAUUCUAAGAGAGCAAAUUGCAAAGCUAAAGACACUACAAUUGAUUAUUCCAAAGAGCUUUGCAAGAAAGUGUUUGUAUUCCCUCUGAGACAUGUAACCAAAUGAUGCACACUCCAAGGCAACAUGGCUGGCAUCCUCAACAUUGACGUGCAUUGUUUUGUGAUUGCUAGUACAUUUCCGCAAGAGGUUAUAAUCCUGCCUCAGCUGCAGUUUAUGGAUCAGUUCAAAUUUUCUACACAUAGAAUUCUUGGAUGGAAGUGGCUUCAAUAUGGUUGCCAGGAGAGGGGAAGUUGCAUUCCUCUCUUAAAGAACUGAAAAUCAAUUUGUGUCCAUUAUUUGAAUCAGGUAGAUUUCUAAGUUGUUGAAGAUUCUAAGAGAGCCAUUUGCAAUGCUAGAGACAAAACAAGUGUCGACUUCAUAUAUAAAAGAUGUUUAAGUGCUGUCUGGCUUCUCAGGUUUGUGUCUACUCAACUGGAGGUAGAUUCAUCCAAUGGUUUACUCUACUUCAAAGAGAACAAAUUGCAAAACGAGAGACAAAACAAUUUGCUUUUUCCAGGAAGGAAAGGUUUUAUAAUCUUGGAAUAAUAUUGAUGUCACAAACAAAUAGGAUUGCAAGAAAGUGUUUGUAGUAUCCCCUAUGAGGCCUUUAACCAAAUGUUUAACUCUGCAAGGCAACAACAUGAUUGUGACUGUGAGUAUUCUUUAAUAAGAUCUCAAUUUCUAUUUGAUGUAUAUCUGUUUACUCCUACCUGAGCGGAAAUUUUGAAAGACGUGUUUGUGUCCUAGUAAGUUAUAAUGCUUUGAAUCAUAUGUGUAGACGAAUUUGAAUCCCAACUUUCAAAGCAUGGAAGUCUUUAAGAAGCAGUACUUUUAUGACUAGCAUGCCAUAGAUGUGAGUGUCCCUAAUCCGUUUUCAUUAGUACUAAGAAUACUGCUCAUGUCGUUUUUAUUCAUUUUAAAGCCAAAUUAUGUUUCUAUAACAAGGCGUUCUCAACAUUGAGCUGCAUGGCUUGAGAUUUCUAAAAGAAGUGAAAAAUCAUGCCUCAGCUGCAGUUUAUAUGGAUUAGUUUUACACAUCUCUAAUCAUAAAGAUAUAGAAUGCUUGGAUGGAAAGUGGUUUAAACAUGGUUAUCAGAAGAGGGGAAGUUGCCCUCGCGCUUAAAGAACUGAAAAUCAAUUUGUAUGGAAGAAACAAAAUUGAUCAUAUUCCCAACAUGCUUAUAGAUUAUGAAUUGAUCAUAUUCAAAGAGUAUCAUGUCUCGGUGAGUCGCUGAAAUACUUCUUCUUUCAUGUUUCUUGUUAUAAAUAUGCAAUUAAUAAAUAUUAUAAAUAUGUUGGGCACAAUCAUGGAGAAACUAGGAGGAAUUGCAAAACUGCUCAUGGAUCGUCUGUCGUGUUCUUCUAUGUAUGCUUUUCUCCUUAGAUUUGUUAUGGGAUUGAUUGUUAUGUUUAAUAAUAUAUUUUUGUUCACAAGGUUGAUUCAAAGAUGAAGGAGAUUCAAAGAGAACAAACUGCAAAGCGAGAGGCAAAACAAUUGAAAGAGAGGUUUUAUAAUCUUGGAAAUAUGGACGUCACAAUCAAACAGGAUUGCAAGAAAGUGUUUGUAUCUCCUUUGAGGCAUUUGACUCCAAAACUACAACAUGGCUAUGUGUAGAUGAAUUUGAAUCCCAACUUUCAAAGCAUGGAAGUCUUUAAGAAACAAUACUUUUAUUUUAUGACUAGCACACCAUAGAUGGUUCCUCAACAUUGUUGUGCAUGGCUACAGAUUGCUAGUAUAAUGCCUGGAUGGAAAGUAACUUCAACACGUAGUCAGAAGAGGGGAAGCAAGUUUGUGGAAGAAACGAGGAAAAAAGUAAUAUUCUGAAAAGGCCUUUGUUAAAAGUAUGAAGGAGUUUGGAUUGUUUUGUGUUGGGAAGAAGUUUGUUAAAGAUGCUGUCACCGAUACUAUUUUGAUGAGAUUUUGGCACCUUGAAAGUAGAUCUGUCCAAUGAUUUUCCCUUCAAAUCCGAAUGAUUGAUAUCCGUCUUGGGGCAUUCAAAAAUGGAGUAUCCCUGCCACCUUCAAGGAAAAGACGAGAGCCGUCUUGGAAAGACUCAAGAGUUUGGUUGAUCAUAGCAACAACUUUGCCUAGUUUUGUUGGAGACAUUGCAACACCUUUUUAUUCAUUUUUGUUUUCUGAUAAGUGAAUAGGUUACUCGAGUUCAGUUGCUGUAAUAAAUUGUAACAUGUAAAACAUAAAUAUGAUUAAUAAAACGGAACUACAGCUGCUCUGUAGUCGGAGACGUAGGCACAAUUGAAUUGGCCGAACUUCGCUAUCAAAUAUCGUGUGUUCUCUUUAUGUAUUUUUGUCGUAUUUGUUUAGUUUUGAAUUGGAAUUGUUGUUUUAACAAUUUGAAAUACAUUGAAUUUUGAACUCU
Molecule: RNA transcript, 3600 nt
Organism: Vicia villosa (hairy vetch)
Lineage: Eukaryota; Viridiplantae; Streptophyta; Magnoliopsida; Fabales; Fabaceae
Exons: 16
Source: RefSeq, a predicted model, not a curated record